Acomys russatus (golden spiny mouse) is the source of this 107-nucleotide small nuclear RNA. The record is from RefSeq and is a predicted model, not a curated record. NCBI's taxonomy places the organism in Eukaryota, Metazoa, Chordata, Mammalia, Rodentia, Muridae.
AUGCUCUCUUCAGUGGCACAUGUACUAAAAUGGAAACAAUACAGGAAAGAUCAGCAUGACCCCUACACGAGGGUAACAUGGAAUCUACAAAGUAUUCCAUAAUUUAA